RNAcentral lists this ribosomal RNA (400 nucleotides) under uncultured bacterium. RNAcentral's name for it is "bacterial SSU rRNA". It matches the Rfam family "Bacterial small subunit ribosomal RNA", at positions 29 to 414 of the family's 1533-position model. The record is from RNAcentral.
AAUCAACGCUGGCGGCGUGCCUAACACAUGCAAGUCGAACGCGAAAGCCCCACAAGGGGUAAGUAGAGUGGCAAACGGGUGAGUAACACGUGGGUGACCUGCCUUCGAGUGGGGGAGUAACGUCCCGAAAGGGACGCUAAUACCGCAUAACAUGCUGCCUUUUAACAGGCGGACAUCAAAGACUGGGGAUCGCAAGACCUAGCGCUGGAAGAGGGGCCCGCGCCUGAUUAGCUAGUUGGGGGGUAACGGCUCACCAAGGCGACGAUCAGUAUCCGGCCUGAGAGGGCGGACGGACACACUGGGACUGAGACACGGCCCAGACUCCUACGGGAGGCAGCAGUGGGGAAUUGUUCGCAAUGGGCGCAAGCCUGACGACGCAACGCCGCGUGGAGGAUGAAGA